CCCCCCCAAUUAUCGUUCUGGCUACGCCACUGUUUUGAAAACCAAUAAAAAAAACGUGUUCGUACUACAGGGUGUCCCAAAAAACCCAAAACGAUUGAAAUAAGAGGGUGGGAAAGGGUAUUUUCGUGAGCCGUGAAUGGUGAACAUUUGUUCUUGUGAAAUGUGAAAUACUUGAUUUUAGUGUCGUGAAAUGUGAUUUGUUCUACAGCCGUGAGGCGUGAUUGUUGAUAAAAAUGCUCCGUGAAAUGAGAAUUAAGGAUGCCUGUUUCGUGAACUGUGAUUAUUAUAGUGAUUAUUAUAAUAAAUAUGAUACGCGAUAAUCAAAUUUAUAUGAUCUCACUCGAUUGCACAAGAGUAAAAACUUCGGAGGCCUUUCGCGAGGUUCCUGGCGCUGAGGACAAGGUUCCUGGCGCUGAGGACAAGGUUCCUGGCGCUGAGGACGAGGUUUCUGGGGGUGAGGACAAGGUUCAUGGCGGUGAGGACAAGGUUCCUGGCGGUGAGGACAAGGUUCCUGGCGAUGAGGACAAGGUUCCUGGCGGUGAGGACAAGGUUUCUGGCGCUGAGGACGAGGUUCCUGGCGGUGAGGACAAGGUUCCUGGGGGUGAGGACAAGGUUCCUGGCGGUGAGCACAAGGUUCCUGGCGCUGAGGACAAGGUUCCUGGCGCUCAGGACAAGGUUCCUGGCGGCGAGGACAAGGUUCCUGGCGGUGAGGACAAGGUUCCUGGCGUUGAGGACAAGGUUCCUGGCGUUGAGGACAAGGUUCCUGGCGUUGAGGACAAGGUUCCUGGCGCUGAGGACGAGGUUCCUGGCGGUGAGGACGAGGUUCCUGGCGGUGAGGACGAGGUUCCUGGCGGUGAGGACAAGGUUCCUGGCGAUGAGGACAAGGUUCCUGGCGCUGAGGACAAGGUUCCUGGAGGUGAGGACAAGGUUCCUGCCGCUGAGAACAAGGUUUCUGCCGGUGAGGACAAGGUUUCUGCUGGUGAGGACAAGGUUCCUGGCGCUGAGGACGAGGUUCCUGGCGGUGAGGACGAGGUUCCUGGCGGUGAGGACGAGGUUCCUGGGGGUGAGGACAAGGUUCCUGGCGAUGAGGACAAGGUUCCUGGCGCUGAGGACAAGGUUCCAGAAGGUGAGGACAAGGUUCCUGCCGCUGAGAACAAGGUUUCUGCCGGUGAGGACAAGGUUUCUGCUGGUGAGGACAAGGUUCCUGGCGUUGAGGACAAGGUUCCUGGCGCUGAGGACGAGGUUCCUGGCGGUGAGGACGAGGUUCCUGGGGGUGAGGACAAGGAUCCUGGCGAUGAGGACAAGGUUCCUGGCGCUGAGGACAAGGUUCCAGGAGGUGAGGACAAGGUUCCUGCCGCUGAGAACAAGGUUUCUGCCGGUGAGGACAAGGUUUCUGCUGGUGAGGACAAGGUUCCUGGCGCUGAGGACAAGGUUUCUGGCGCUGAGGACGAGGUUCCUGGCGGUGAGGACGAGGUUCCUGGGGGUGAGGACAAGGUUCCUGGCGAUGAGGACAAGGUUCCUGCCGCUGAGGACAAGGUUCCUGCUGGUGAGGACAAGGUUUCCGCCGGUGAGGACAAGGUUCCUGGCGGUGAGGACAAGGUUCC
RNAcentral lists this long non-coding RNA (1604 nucleotides) under Paramuricea clavata. The record is from RNAcentral. Lineage: Eukaryota; Metazoa; Cnidaria; Anthozoa; Malacalcyonacea; Plexauridae.